AGCCUAAAAGGGUUACGCUUCAUCUCACUCUCCUCUCCAUCCAAGACUUGCUCCCAUCUCUUUCAAGGUAUCUCUUCGUUUUUUUUUUUGUUACUUUCAUUUUCUGAUUUAUUUGAGUGGAAUUGUGAAAAGGUGUUUGACUUUAAUCUUGUUUGUUUGUGGGUAUUUGUUUGUUUGUUUAAUACUUGUGUUUUAUUUGGUUUUUGGUGUUUUUUGACGAUUUUUCGUGUUACAAAUGAGACGCUUCGUUGUUCGUUUCGCAUACGACGAGACAACUUGACCGAUAGCAUAGCGGUGGUGGCCGAUGGUGGCGGUGACGGUGGUUUCGGGACGUGAUCCGGUUUCAGGAAGGAAAGCGCUAAUUGUGCCUUAAUUGAGGGCGUAAAUUGGGCCUCCUAAUUGAGGGCGUAAACUGUGCCUUUUGGGCGUAAAUUGUGCUCUUUAUUGAGGGCGUUAAUUGUGCCUUAUUUGAGGGCCUUAAUUGUGUCUUAAUUAAGGACAUUAAUAUUUUAUUAUUAUGCCUUAAUUAAGAGCUUAAUUGUCUCAAUCAUGAGUUAUCAUGAUUGUGGAAAUAUUUUGAUAUAACCUGUUAAAUAUAUCGACUUAUAUUUUUCUUGUUUCUCUUGUUUUAUUUUCAGGAUUCUUGGAAGAAGACCCGUUUUCUUUUCGGACAUUAAAGUUUUAUUGUCUAAAUUUCCCCGGUCAUCUUGCAUGUCCGACGGUUAGAUAAUAAGCUUUCUUGAAUGAAAGAAUUAUCACGGUGAAUUGCCGAUUCUCGUUGAGAUUUAUUCUCAUUUUCAAAAAAAAAAAAAAAAAAAAA
This 820-nucleotide long non-coding RNA is filed under the name Daucus carota (carrot). RNAcentral describes it as "long non-coding RNA (DCAR_LNC004363)". The record is from RNAcentral. Lineage: Eukaryota; Viridiplantae; Streptophyta; Magnoliopsida; Apiales; Apiaceae.